This 447-nucleotide ribosomal RNA is filed under the name uncultured bacterium. RNAcentral describes it as "bacterial SSU rRNA". It matches the Rfam family "Bacterial small subunit ribosomal RNA", at positions 355 to 825 of the family's 1533-position model. The record is from RNAcentral.
UCGGGAAUUUUGGGCAAUGGGCGAAAGCCUGACCCAGCAACGCCGCGUGAAGGAUGAAGUAUUUCGGUAUGUAAACUUCGAAAGAAUAGGAAGAAUAAAUGACGGUACUAUUUGUAAGGUCCGGCUAACUACGUGCCAGCAGCCGCGGUAAUACGUAGGGAUCAAGCGUUGUUCGGAUUUACUGGGCGUAAAGGGCGCGUAGGCGGCGUGGUAAGUCAUCUGUGAAAUCUCCGAGCUUAACUCGGAACGGUCAGAUGAUACUGCUGUGCUAGAGUACAGAAGGGGCAAUCGGAAUUCUUGGUGUAGCGGUGAAAUGCGUAGAUAUCAAGAGGAACACCUGAGGUGAAGACGGGUUGCUGGGCUGAUACUGACGCUGAGGCGCGAAAGCUAGGGUAGCAAACGGGAUUAGAUACCCGAGUAGUCCCUGAGCGGGCUGGCAAGGCGCAU